RNAcentral lists this ribosomal RNA (436 nucleotides) under uncultured bacterium. Its description in RNAcentral is "partial 16S ribosomal RNA". It matches the Rfam family "Bacterial small subunit ribosomal RNA", at positions 28 to 508 of the family's 1533-position model. The record is from RNAcentral.
GAUGAACGCUGGCGGUAUGCUUAACACAUGCAAGUCGAACGGACUCUUCGGAGUUAGUGGCGGACGGGUGAGUAACGCGUGAGAAUCUGGCUUUGGGUUCGGGACAACCACUGGAAACGGUGGCUAAUACCGGAUGUGCCGAGAGGUAAAAGAGAAAUUGCCUGAAGAUGAGCUCGCGUCUGAUUAGCUAGUUGGUGAGGUAAAGGCUCACCAAGGCAGCGAUCAGUAGCUGGUCUGAGAGGAUGACCAGCCACACUGGGACUGAGACACGGCCCAGACGCCUACGGGAGGCAGCAGUGGGGAAUUUACCGCAAUGGGCGAAAGCCGGACGGAGCAAUACCGCGUGAGGGAAGAAGGCUCUUGGGUUGUAAACAUCUUUUCUUAGGGAAGAACAAAAUGACGGUACCUAAGGAAUCAGCAUCGGCUAACUCCGUGC